GGGUAACUAUGACUCUCUUAAGGUAGCCAAAUGCCUCGUCA
Molecule: unclassified non-coding RNA, 41 nt
Filed under: unidentified cloning vector
Description: partial pre-rRNA IVS
Source: RNAcentral